This 273-nucleotide ribosomal RNA is filed under the name uncultured bacterium. Its description in RNAcentral is "partial 16S ribosomal RNA". It matches the Rfam family "Bacterial small subunit ribosomal RNA", at positions 524 to 796 of the family's 1533-position model. The record is from RNAcentral.
GACGGAGGAGGCAAGCGUUAUCCGGAAUGAUUGGGCGUAAAGAGUCCGUAGGUGGAACUUCAAGUCCAUUGUCAAAGAGCAAAGCUUAACUUUGUAAAGGCAGUGGAAACUGAAGGUCUAGAGAGGGGCAGGGGCAAAGGGAAUUCCUGGUGUAGCGGUGAAAUGCGUAGAGAUCAGGAAGAACACCGGUGGCGAAAGCGCUUUGCUGGGCCUUAUCUGACACUGAGGGACGAAAGCUAGGGGAGCGAAUGGGAUUAGAUACCCCCGUAGUCC